UGUCUAGGCAUUUCUCUUACAUUUAAGCAGUCUGGAGAGGAAAAGCAAAACAGACUCCAGCUAAGGGAAAAUAAGAGCUGUUGUGAAAGAAUCAAAGCUCUCUCUGCGAAGCACAUGACUUUGAAACUCAACAACAAAUAUCCACACUAGACCAAUGUGUGCUUUCGGUUCUCUAACAAGGUCACGUAAUAGAAUGAAGUUGAGUAGAAACUCAAGAAACAAUGGUCUAGUCGCUGACGAGGGCUAAAUGUGAACCUUCACUGAACUGACCCUCCACUACUCUCUCCACAUCUCCCCUCACUGUUUAAUCCCAAUAAGAUUUCAAAUAUGGUAGGCAGUUGUCUAUUCACAGAACUUCCCCCUUGAUAUUGGGUUUUCUUUUUUAGAAUCUAUUGGCCAGUUACUGAAAUUGAUGGAUUGACAUGGCAAUAAAAGUACAAGAGGAAACAGGCGUUGGCGAUCUCUCGUCAAAGAUAGUUGUUUCAUAAACAAUGUCUGUAAGCUUACUCAAUCCCUGACUGAUUGAUUCAACAAGUGACAUAUCGGAAUGCUUGGUCCAAGGACUCCAGAUGCCAUUUGAGAGAUAAAUGAUACCCCCGACUCCAGAAGAAUCAAUAAUUUCAUGUGUUUGAACAUUUAACUUUGGGACCUCUUUGUUUAUUCUGACCUUCAUAGGAACAAGUUGACAUACGGAUGCUUGAUCAGUCUGUCUCCAGCGGCCUUGUCUGAGCCUGACCACGAGUAAGCAUGCCAGAGAAGUUGACUGAAUGCAUUCUGAAUUGGAGUUCUGUUAGAAAGGUUCCUGAGGCUCUAUGAAGACCCUGUGGGGGAAGAGUGCAGAAGCCACCGUCCCAUACCUGCCAUCUAAUGUGAUGCUGUUAAUGAAGAGGAAUAGACAGAGGAGGAGAAACAUCUAUGCUCACGUUUAUAUUGAACAUAAGAAUCUCAGAAUCUCUGCACUAGAUUUGAAUAGCUCAUCUGACCCACCAAGUUGUCAUAAGUUUGCUCCUGACAGUGACUAAAGUCAUUCUGCUUUGUAAUACUCUAGAGCUGUUAAUGACCCAAAGUCAUUGUUUUGGACUAUGUAUUCCUACCCUUUAAUGGUUUUGUUUAUUCUUGUUGGUUUUAAUUAAAUAAAGAAAAAUUUAUCCCAAA
Molecule: non-coding RNA, 1155 nt
Organism: Rattus norvegicus (Norway rat)
Lineage: Eukaryota; Metazoa; Chordata; Mammalia; Rodentia; Muridae
Source: RefSeq, a predicted model, not a curated record